GGAGGUAGUGACAAUAAAUAACAAUGCCGGGCCUUCUUAGGUCUGGCAAUUGGAAUGAGAACAAUUUAAACCCCUUAUCGAGUAUCAAUUGGAGGGCAAGUCUGGUGCCAGCAGCCGCGGUAAUUCCAGCUCCAAUAGCGUAUAUUAAAGUUGUUGCAGCUAAAAAGCUCGUAGUUGGAUUUGUGGUGUGUCCAGUCGGCCUUUGCUCUCUGAGUGAUUGUGCUGUACUGGUCUGCCAUGUUUGGGUGGAAUCUGUGUGGCAUUAAGUUGUCGUGCAGGGGAUGCCCAUCGUUUACUGUGAAAAAAUUAGAGUGUUCAAAGCAGGCUUAUGCCGUUGAAUAUAUUAGCAUGGAAUAAUAAUAUAGGACCUUGGUACUAUUUUGUUGGUUUGCGCACUAAGGUAAUGAUUAAGAGGGACAGUUGGGGGUAUUUGUAUUCCAUUGUCAGAGGUGAAAUUCUUAGAUUUUUGGAAGACAAACUACUGCGAAAGCAUUUACCAAGGAUGUUUUCAUUAAUCAAGAACGAAAGUUAGGGGAUCGAAGAUGAUUAGAUACCGUCCUAGUCUUAACUAUAAACCAUGCCGGCUAGAGAUCGGAGGUCGUUCGAUUUGUGACACCUUCAGCAUCUUGAGAGAAAUCAAAGCCUUUGGGUUCCGGGGGGAGUAUGGUCGCAAGGCUGAAAUCCAUAUGA
This 690-nucleotide ribosomal RNA is filed under the name uncultured diatom. RNAcentral's name for it is "SSU rRNA". It matches the Rfam family "Eukaryotic small subunit ribosomal RNA", at positions 460 to 1151 of the family's 1831-position model. The record is from RNAcentral. Lineage: Eukaryota; Bacillariophyta.